AAUGAACGUUGGCGGCAUGGAUUAGGCAUGCAAGUCGCGCGAUAAGAUUCCUUCGGGAAUCCGAAAGCGGCGAAAGGGAGAGUAACGCGUAGAUGAUCUACCCCGAGGACUGGGAUAGCGGCGGGAAACUGCCGGUAAUACCAGAUGAUGUCUCCGGACCAAAGGGUGUGAUUCCGCCUUGGGAUGAAUCUGCGUCCUAUUAGCUAGUUGGUGAGGUAACGGCUCACCAAGGCGAAGAUGGGUACCGGGUGUGAGAGCAUGACCCGGCUCACUGGGACUGAGACACUGCCCAGACACCUACGGGUGGCUGCAGUCGAGAAUC
RNAcentral lists this ribosomal RNA (322 nucleotides) under uncultured bacterium. RNAcentral's name for it is "bacterial SSU rRNA". It matches the Rfam family "Bacterial small subunit ribosomal RNA", at positions 29 to 363 of the family's 1533-position model. The record is from RNAcentral.